AAAAAUAAGAUACCCACAGACUCUGUACGUGUCACGCAUCUAUUGCUUGCGUUUGUUUUUUUUUGUUGUUUUAUUUUUUUCUGCUUUUGGCUUCUCUCCGUUUCGAAACAAACCAAACGAUGAAGGCAAAAUCGAUAUAACAAAUUUGUUUGACAACCCAAUCGAAGAACUUCGAUUUCAGACAAAAUUGAUGUCUCCUCAUCGUCUUCUUCUUAUCCGAUUCCUUUUUGGUUCUUCUCUGUUAGGUAAGAAGCUGAUUUGGUUGAUAGUAUCAAAGUAAUUGCUGAAUAUUAUUUGCUUCCUUGUCCGCAUACAUCUGGGUUUUGAGUUAAUUCGUUUGUUUCAAUAUGUUUUAAGUCGUAGAAUCUGUUUUGAGUGAAUUUAUUUUGAGCAAUCUGUGUAUUGAGAUGCUAAUUUUGGGUAUUAAUCUUUUGAUUUGUGAGGAAAAAAAUGAAACUUGGGAUUGUAAAGCAGAUGUAAUGAGCUCCAAUGGCUGUGGCGACGGCGGUGGCGACGUCUAUAGCACCAAAAUCUAUUGGAUCGGUCUUGUUGUGGACGUUUUGAUACAGGAUCGGUCUUGUUGUGGACGUUUUGAUGUGUUUUGAUACAGGAUCGAUCUCAAGAGAUGGUUUGAUGUGUUCUUUGCCUUGAGAUCGGUCUCAACCCGUGAUGCUUGAUAGAAAGAGAUGGUAACUUGUGAUGGAGGGAGUUUCGCAACCCGUGAUUCUCGAUAGAAAGAGAUGGUACAAGACAAAAUUUAAACUUAAAUUUAUAACAUUGAAAAUAAACUUAAAACAAAAUUUUAACAAAAUUUAUUUAGGACACCUAUAAUAAAGGAUGACUAAUGGAGGGAGAACAAAUCAAAUACAAAGGAUUAAGGAUCUAAACUUAAUUUAGUAUUAUUUUUAAUCUUAUUAAAUGUUAUAGAUACUAAAGUGAGUAUGAGGGAUGGAGAUGCCCUUAGAGCAUCAUUAAUCGAGAACGACUCAACGUUUCUCAAAAAAACCAAAAAAAAUAUUUUUUUUAUAAAUUAUUAUUAUUUAUUUAUUUCCUCA
Non-coding RNA from Camelina sativa (false flax), 1055 nucleotides. The record is from RefSeq and is a predicted model, not a curated record. NCBI's taxonomy places the organism in Eukaryota, Viridiplantae, Streptophyta, Magnoliopsida, Brassicales, Brassicaceae.